This 492-nucleotide ribosomal RNA is filed under the name uncultured bacterium. Its description in RNAcentral is "partial 16S ribosomal RNA". It matches the Rfam family "Bacterial small subunit ribosomal RNA", at positions 29 to 507 of the family's 1533-position model. The record is from RNAcentral.
AGUGAACGCUGGCGGUAGGCCUAACACAUGCAAGUCGAACGGCAGCACAGUAAGCGCUUGCCCUUACGGGUGGCGAGUGGCGGACGGGUGAGGAAUACAUCGGAAUCUACUUUUUCGUGGGGGAUAACGUAGGGAAACUUACGCUAAUACCGCAUACGACCUACGGGUGAAAGCAGGGGAUCUUCGGACCUUGCGCGACUGAAUGAGCCGAUGUCGGAUUAGCUAGUUGGCGGGGUAAAGGCCCACCAAGGCGACGAUCCGUAGCUGGUCUGAGAGGAUGAUCAGCCACACUGGAACUGAGACACGGUCCAGACUCCUACGGGAGGCAGCAGUGGGGAAUAUUGGGCAAUGGGCGCAAGCCUGAUCCAGCCAUACCGCGUGGGUGAAGAAGGCCUUCGGGUUGUAAAGCCCUGUUGUUGGGAAAGAAAAGCAGCAGGUUAAUCCCCCGCUGUUCUGACGGUACCCAAAGAGUAAGCACCGGCUAACUUCGUG